Molecule: non-coding RNA, 9634 nt
Organism: Anas platyrhynchos (mallard)
Lineage: Eukaryota; Metazoa; Chordata; Aves; Anseriformes; Anatidae
Source: RefSeq, a predicted model, not a curated record
GUCUGAAAUCACAGAUAAGUUAGAAUCAGAGAUUUCAAUGCAAACACUCAUGAACUUUGAGAAGGGUCAGGUCCAGACGGGCUCCAGCUGGACUCCAGACCCUGAUAAGAGAGUUCCUCCCGUGGGCCUCGAGAACAUCUGAAUCCUCAGCAGCCACUCGGCUGACCUCUCCUUCCCAGGUCUCCGGGCUUUUUUACCCAGUUACUAGGUCAUGAGCUUGCAGGAGACCCACCCACUUGGGCCUGUUGGUUUUCACUGGUCCAGGGACAUUUUUCUUUCUUCAGGGAACUCUGCAAAGCAUUUUUUCUUGCAGGAGGGGAGGAGAUUCAGCAUGACUCAAUGGUGUUUAAGAAACGGGAGACAAAUGAGGAGAUCCUAGAGGUACUUCCUUUCUGAAUAGCUCAGAGAUUAGUAACGCUUUGCCAUACCUGUAAAUAGUUUGUGUGCAGACACGAAUGCCAACAACUUCUCUGGAAAGCUGCACCUCGCUAGCCCUUGUUUUCGAAGAGCGUUUGUGAUUUUUCAGCAACCACCUACCAAAGCCAAGAGAAAAUAAAAAGAUCCCUGACCUUUCACUGCUCUGAUUUCCUAAUCAUUUGGACACCUUUAAUCCUCGCCUCAGUCACAGGGCACUGUUGUGUAACACAGCCACAGUCCAGGAAGGGCCUGGCACAAGACAAAUGCUGGACAUGGAACAUCCUUGGUGCAAAAAAAAAAAAAAAAAAAAAAAAAGAGCUGUGCAAGGGGUGUAAAGAGGAGAGCAUGUCUGGGGGCUCACAGCAGCAUAAGCUGUAUUUAUGCAGUGCUUGGGGAUCGGUCAACGCAUGCAAGGUUUUUGCUUGUCACCAAAGUGGCCAUGCAGAGUGGUCAGACAAGUCGGGCAGCGAACGCAUGCACAUUAAUAUUUGCUGUCACUGAGGUUGCAAAACAAAAGCAGACAGAUCAUUUCAGGACUUGGCCUCCUUAUCUCCACCUACCACAGCCUAUAAAGUUGCAUAAGAAAACAGGACAGCAUAGGAAGAAAUUUGAGGUGGAAACCUGAAGAGAAAUGAAGCAGAUGCGGCGACACUGAAUGGCAAAACUCCCCCCCCAGAGUGGGAUCAUAAGGGUCACACUAAAGCCCAUGGAGCAGCGCGGUGGGGACAAGCCCUGCAGACACGGGGUCCCUGCGGAAAUCCAGCAUGCGGCAGAGGAGACAAAGGCACUCCAAAGUACCUUCUGUUGGAAACCCUGGCUUCAUUUUCAGAAAGCAAAGAGAUGUUGUUUGGGAGACACAAGCAUCUGCUUAGUGACUUCUCGGUGCAGGGGACAAGCAACUCGCUGGUGUCUUGCCAGGUAAGCUGCAAACAACAUUAGGUCACUGCAAACAGCUUUCCUUGGGCUCCAUCUGUCAGAUAAGGACCGUAUCACUGGCACGAUGUUUGUGAUGCCGAGCUCUCCUUUGCUUAACGAAGGCCAAAUGUGAAGCUCAUUAAGGAGAGAACCUGAGACGCCCUCCCUAGACCAGCAGCAGCUGACUUGCUGCCGUGGGCUGGUUUAAUCUCCUAUUAGCUCAGGUCAAAACGAGCUGCGUGGAGAAAUACCUCUGUCACGACAUGUCAGACCUGCAGAGCUGAGUCCCAAGUGCAAAAGCUGCUGGGGGCCACGGGGUGGUUCUGGCUCCGAGUUCCCCGGGGCUGAUGAUGUGUGAGCGGCUGCGGGCAGCCACGGCGUGCUCUGCAGCCUUCUGUGGGCUCAGCCUGCAGCAGACAAGCGUGUGGUACAGCCUCACCAGCCUCCGAGCAGGCCCUAUUUAAAGGCCAUUCAAAUACGGUGGUGUCCAGGAAGACGUGUAGCACCUAAUAGUGGUGGAGAUUAAGAGGAGAUUAAAAGAAAAGUCGUGAUUCAGCCGUGAUUUUCAUGGCGAGGAAUGAUGCCAUGGAAAACAUCAAGGAAAAUGAGGUGGAAUGGGCUGCCAUUAGCAGAUUGCUUUAUUUAUGGCUAUUGGGUAUUGCUGGUGUGCCAAAUCUUAAAUUUAUUGGGUGCCACAGAUUUCUUCAUUAAAAUUGUAUUACCAAAUUGUUGUUUGUUGCAAUUUGCAGUGACCCUCUCCUUAGCUGUUUUUAUUUUUGCUGUAUGUGUGUGUAUGACCCUGUAAAAACAGGCCGGUCUGUGGGGAGAAAGUAGGUUUUUAGCCAAAAGUGUGCAUUUUAAAUGGCGUGACUGAUCUUCUCCGAGUUCCCUCCUCCCUCUCCUCCAUUUUGGCUUUGUGCUUCACCUCUCGGGCUGCACCGCCGUGGCUCCAAACCCUUCCCGUCCCAGUUAUUAACGUUAAGCUGACAAGCUCCAAGCGAGGAUUUUCAGGUGUCUUUAUAACAACUCGUGCUGGCUGCUAGGUGUUCCCAGGAGGCUGCAGAUCCUGGAAUCUUCCACCCUGGCAAUAUGCCCAGCCCAUCGCAACUGCGACCUUACCAAGAUCUCAGCACUGGGAUUUUGCAGCUGUUCAGAUCUCUCCAGAUACCACAGCAAAUGGUUUCUGCUCUCUGAGUCAGCCGGUUGCUGCACCCCAGCCCUUUAAGGUUUUCCCACUAUUCCUUACCAGAACCACCUUCAGAGCUGGUCUCCUUGGGAUGGCGAUGGAGCAAUGAGUGGAGUUGGGCAACUGUGUCACUUGCCUUAGUUUGCUAAUGUCAAGGCUUUUGGCAAGCUGGUCUUUAGGAAGGCACACAGAGACGGCAGAAUGGUGGAGGGCUGGGGUCUCAGAGCUGAUGAUCAGAUCAGCAGCCAGCUCUGGGCACUGGCUGCGAUGUACAGAAAUCACAUCAACCCUCUUCUCUCAAGGUAAUGAGAUCAGUUAUCUGAUGCUGCUUGUAUCCAAAUUGCAUUCAGAUAGUUUUAUGCUUCACAGGCUGCUGGAUCACAGCGAUAGUUAUACAAAGCUGGCGAUGGCUGCAGGACAGAAACAGCUCCCCUGAGCCCUGCUCCUUCACACCAUGCUCUCCUCUGAUGCACAUUCACAUGCUGUAGCACCCUACAGCAACAAGCACCCCUAGAGUUCAGACUGUGGCUUGUCUGAUCAUAUCAAGCCAUCGAGAUUUACAGUCUCCUCUCUCUUCUGACCAGAUGUAAUAAUAGCAAGAGCAGAGGUUCUCACCACAGCAAGACAAAUUUCUUUUUCAAUGACAUGCCCAUCAUCAAUCCCUACAAGUAAAUUUUUUCGUUUAGAAGCUCACGAGUACAUCCCAUACCGUACACUCUGUGCUGCUCUUUUGCAUAACACUUCCUAGCUUGUCUGUACCUAGCCCUGGGCUCUCUCAGGUCUUUUCUGUCCUCGGGACAGAUCUCUGAGACCUGCAGGAUCUGUCUCAGGUGUCGCUCAGUUAUAAGAAAGGAGGCUGGCUACACUCAGGUUCAUUAUUAGGUUUCACAUAUUGCGUGAGGUGGGACCGAGAGGUUUGUGUUUGAUUUAAUAAUAUUUUUUGCUGUGAUUUGGAGCACUCAGAGAGCAGCCGGGCUGCCAAAGCAAGCUGAAACAGGCAACACUUGAGACAUUCAGGUCAGGGAGCACGCUGUUAGCCCAUCUCAGCAGGUGUGAUACCGUCCUGCCACCAUCCUGCGCCCAUCAGCACGUAGUCCUUCCUUUUGAUCCAGGGCUUCACGAGACACAAAGCAUCUCUCAGUGCAGAGAAAGCUCUGUGGCGAGACUUUCCCUGUGCUGACCUCUCCUGUGGGGUUUUUGUGCCUGAGACCAGCAGUCUGUGCAGGGGCACGGGACCGUACCCACUUGCAAGCAGCAUCUCCCAGCCACUCAGGUCCAGGGCAGAGGAUGCAGAAGGGCCCAUCCUUCAGCUCUUGGGUCUUCAGUUAGUCUUUCCUUCUGACUCCAAGCAAAGGGCUCUUUCCCAGAGCUGCUCCCCAUGGUACUGGAAUCUAAACAAUCCUCCUAACUAGCUUUCAGACAAAAUCAGGUUACGGGGUUCCCCUUACCAUGCACACACACUUGGAGGAUUGGGAGCAGAGCUUUCGGGGGAAGAUAAGAUGCUGCUCUGUUAAUCAGAAACACGGUGAAUAGCAUUUGUUAUGCUUUUGUGAGGCUGUUAAGUAUUUCUUUUCCCUUCUUAUGACUCUUCACCAUACCUUUCUGCCGGUGGAAGGCACCUGGCUCUCUAGACUGCCAUCCACAGACCAGCCGACGCACAUGCACACACCUGCCUCAGGAUGAAAAUGAGGCAUGGCAUCUAUUGCCAAAGAAAGGUUUCUUCAGUACCAGAAUUACUAAAACUUCCUUAAGAUAUGCAGGAGUGCUUCCAGAUUGCAAAAUGAAAAUCGCUGCCCGGAAUCCUGAAUUCAAAGUAGGGAAAUAUCCCUUUAAAGAAACCCAUUGGCAAUAUGACUAAAGGCCUUAAGGCCAAGCUGAUCUUCAACACAACUCCACUGAGUCAAGAAAAAUACACCAGGGAUAAAGUUUGGCCUGAUAGUGAAAACCACAGGCAAGUGAGAAUGAUUCCCACAAUCAAGCUGAUCUGAAAAAUGCAGUUAAAUUUUGCCCUUAAAGGAAUCAUUUUCCUAACAAUAAUGGAUAAAAUGAAAUGCUUGUCAAAAUUAUUACAAGCAUAUGGGGAUGAGACGAUCAACAUUUUAUGAAUUAUUUCCCUCAGCAGCAGUAUGUUUGCUUCAUUCUUUAGCCAUUCUUCUUUCUUUAAUUCCAGAGCUUGUGACCUUCCUGCUGGCUCUUCUAGAUUUACUACCUGCCCUGUUCAUUCUUGCCUUGCUAGAGCCACACAGAUGAUGUGUUUUGGAUGCUUAAUCCCAGCUUUGCCACUGCGUUGAUGUGGCAUUUUUUUGAGUAUUUUUUCGGGCCAGUAUCCUUCAAGUCCAUCUCUACUAGUUUAUCAAUACUUGAAGUGGCCCCCAGGCAAUGCUAAGGGUAAGUAUCUGAUAUUAUUUUCCAGGACUGAGUCCUUGGUUCUCAGCCUAACACUUUGCAAGGAUACCUAAACGAAGAUGCUGGUUAGGAUGAAGACAAAACUUUCUCAGAAAGCUGUUUUGGAAUGUGGGACUUGCUUCCCAAGAGAGGAGAAUGAAUGACCACAGAAUUAAUCUCUUUCAAAGCUCUGUCCAAAACUCAUUUGUUGUGUUUAACUUGUUCUCAGCAAGUCCUAAACACACGCUCAGAAACAAAGAGUGGAAAACUCAACUGUAGUUGUUCACAAAAGCAAACAAAACCCAAACAGGAGCAACUUGCCAGUGUGCUGAAAAGAUUGCUACCAAAACAAAACAAAACAGAACAAAACAAAAACUUCUAUAAAAUAAUUAUUUUUUUUCACUUAAAGUACUGAAAGGAAAAAAAAAAAAGAGAGAGAGAGAGAGAAAGAAAGGAGAAAGGACAGAGGUGUUUGUUUGUUUGUUUGUUUGUUUGUUUUUGGAAGUUUAUCAGUUUGGGAGGGGUUACCAAGAACUCCAAGGCUUUUUCAUUGGCUUUUGCACCCUCUUGUACCUUCCAGGAGGCAUCAGGCCAUUUGAAUUUUAUUCCUCUUCCUUGGUUAUGUAGUUCUCAGUCCCAGAAUUCAUGGGUGUGCGGGAGGGCUGGAGACUCCUGCCUGAUCCCCAGCACUUCAGGUAUUCACAGAUAUCGCUCCCACACCUCUGUGUUUAACUCAUGUUUGGCAAAGUACAACGUGAUCUAAAUCAAGCAGCCCAGGAGGGCAGCCAGCUUGGAUUUGAGGGCACCACGAAAUGUGAAUCCUAUCCUGGACCUGGAAUUCUUCCCAGAGAUUAAGCAUCUUCACUGAUAAACACAUGCUACUUUCUUACUCGAAAUUACCAAGCUGUAGUGUGCUUGUCGUGGGGCUAAAGACCCCUUUCCUACCAGCAUCGCUUCCUGAAGGUGCUUGCACACUCUGUCAUAACAUCACCUCUCACUUUGCUUUUGAAUACAUUUAGCAGAUUGAACUCCUCAAGUCUCUCAACUUCCUUUUCAAAAUGCAGAGACCAACAAUAACAGGGAAAAUAUUUGUCUGGUUAAGACUGGCUGGAAGCAGCCCUGGUCCAUCCUGCAGUUGGCUGUUCCUCCAUCUGGAGCUCCUGGGAGGCCCCUCAGCUGCAGCAGCACACUGGAAACACAGGUUGGGCUGCUUGUCCGUAGCAUCCUAUCCCAAAUCCUGGCUUUGCUUUCCAAGAUAAGGAUUGUCCCUCUGUGCAAGUUGACUGUGUCCCUUGCUCCUCCACACGGGGCUGUCACGCUGCCCAGUGACCUGGAUCUCCCCACACCGCUGCCCCGGCCUCUUCACCAGCUGCUGCUCUGCCUGUCUGGUGUCACUCGCAGGUUUUGGCAGCCCUUGUUGUGGCUCACCUUCCACACCGUUGAUAAAAGCAUUGAAAAUUAUUGGAUGCCCUAUCAGUCCCUGAGGCUCUUCUCUGGAGAAGCGCCCGGGGACUGCUCAUUUGCAAGGUCUUUAAUCUCACUGGUCCCUAAGCCACAGAACAUGCAUAACGUUGAUGUUGGAUAUCCUUACUUGUUGCUAGAACGUGCUAAGUCAAUCACCUUGCCAAAAUCUGUCACAUCCACAGAGCUGCUUUUCCCAGCCCAACUUUUAACCUCUCCAGAGAACACAGAGCUGUUUGAAAAGCUUGAUUUUGAUGUGAAAAGGCUGAGCCAACAGCCAUAAAUAAUAGCCACAGCUUUUAACUCUGCUCAGUUCACUUCCCCAGCAGCUUUUCCACCAUGUUCUCUACAACUGGUUUCAUGCUAUUGUGUACUACAGCUUUGCUUUAUAACCUGUUUGUGAUUUGGAAGGUGCUGUGCUCCACUCCCCCAUCGUCUGUCCUAAUGAGCCAGGAAACAGCCUGAAUGAAUAGAAACACUGUCAGAGGUCUAGAGUAAAAGACUUGAAAUAGGUGAAAGGUUGGUAGCAUGAGCAACGUGCCAGGCUUGUCUGCUCCCGAUGUCUGUGUCGUGCAUCACGUGAACACAUAAAUCCUUGGAAUCCCUCACCAUUUGUUUGGAUACCAGCAGACUUGAGUGUGCAUCUACCUCGCCGGUGACUUGAAGGAUUAUUCUUAUAGGACAGACUCCCCCUGCUAGGCUGCUUGCACGCUCGGGAACACACGAGGCUUGGGAUGGGUAUUUACACACAGGUUUUAUUCUAGGCCCACUUAGGGAAAGGACUUAGGAAUGAGGACUAACAUGAGGAAGAAGUGGCUGCCUUGUCUCAGAUGUUCCAGUGGCUGAACAUGCUGCAGAAUGGGGUGAAGCUGGUGAAUGUUUUCUGAGAUAGCAGCGGAAAGAGCAGGGAGAUGGGGAUACCACCCCGAUGAGCAGCAGGCAGCUUCAUGCAAGCGCACCAGCUUCUGCCUCUCCAGUCUCGCCCCGCCUGCAUUUGUUCCUCCUUUGCCUGAUGGCACAUCUCCCCCACACAAUGGCAUGUAAAAUCUAAUCUCUACUGAAAGCUCUGCAGGGCAGGAACUCACACAUUCAGAUCCAAAUAGGCUACUCAUGCCUUUUUAAUUUCACUGGAUCAGAAUAACAACAGCAAGGAAAUAAAGCAACAGCCAAAGAAUCAAGUCAGCGCAGUGAAACAGGUCCCUUCCCUGCCUUACGAGUUACAUCCACACCACCCCGAUGCUAGCGGGAAGUCUUCUAGUCACAAUCAGUAAAUCUUUCCCUUUUAAGCAUCCCAGAAAGCUCUCAGCCACCAAGGAAUGGCCACUGAUGUCCACUAACUCCCAAAGGCACACGGAGCGGCACCACGCUGAGAAGCAUCCCAGGGCACGAGGGGGCCGGGGAGCCCCUCUGUGCCCGCCCGUGGUCUGGGAAGAGCGAGCCUGGGGUUGGUGCACUCCCACGCACAUCUGCACCCCAGGCUGGCACGAUGCUGAUCUCCCCAGACAUCAAUCCUGCUGCCAUCUGGAUGACAGAUCUUGCACAAGAGCCGUGCCAUUACAUAAGGCCGGGGCUGUUUACAACUUCCCGCCCAGCGCACGCCCGCCGUGUGUUAAUCAGGACGGUUCGCAGUCAGUCCCGGAGUAAACAAACGCAGCUUCACCAGCAAACACAGCACCACACCUCUUCGCUCCAGGUGUGCGUUUUGGCCCACUGUCUGUUUCUCCAUAGCGAUUAGGGACUGGUAUUUAAGACAAUUUCUUAACAGGACCUGGGAUCGGUGGUUUAUCUCCUCAUUAGCUUGGUAAUGUCAUUAAUUAAGGUUAUGUCAACGGACAUGAUGCCACAGCAGAUGGGUGUUAUCAGUGGCAACAGCCUUCCAGGGUUUGUGUUCGCAGCCUGCCUACUGCGAUGCGCCAUUAGCAUCCUGCCCAAAGUGGGGACCUGCCCUUUCCCCACGCUGCUGCCGAGAGCCCUCUCCGCAGCCAAAGCGUCUUGAGGCAGGCUCCAGAAAUCCCCUCAAAAGUCCCUGUGCUCCCGAAGCAGCUCAGAGUGGGGAACCAUGAGCACGGGGGGAGUUACAGAAGGGGCGAGGGAUGCACACGGGGCUCCUGAUCAUGUGCGCCCUAGGCAGGCAGCGAAAGCAGCCUUGUGGCCUCUUCCUUUGUCCUCCUGCUCCUGGGACUGGGCUUCCUCAUGGUCCUAUUCAGCAAGAUGAAUGCCCUAAGACCCCCAAACCACUUCUGAAGGGCAGGGAUGGUCCCGGUGGUGCUGCACAGCCUGCAGGGCCUUGAGCCAUGGCACUGAUCCUGGUGGAGGAACGGUGCUGUCGUCGCCUCCUUCCUCCCCCUUUUGCACCUAACGCUGCUUGUUCGGCUGGCUCUGCAUUUCAAGCUGAGAAAAUUAGCACGUUAGUGAGAGAUGUGGUGGACUCUGUCCCGUGGCGUUAACAGCAGGGCUGGGUACUUCAGAGCAAGCCGGCUGGCAGGGCUGGCAGGAGCCGGGCCCAGGCCCGCACGCAGGGCAGUCGUGAUGUUGGAUUUAAAGCGUUCAUAUCAUGAAAUCCAUGAACCUGUGAACUGUGAGGCUUCAGAAGAGAAAAGGCAGCGAGUUUACAGAAUCACAGAAUCACAGAAUUUCUAGGUUGGAAGAGACCUCAAGAUCAUCAAGUCCAACCUCUGACCUAACGCUAACAGUCCCCACUAAACCAUAUCCCUAAGCUCUAGGGAUAGUUUAGCCUGCCUGCUCACACUAUACUCUUAGAGGUAGCAGGAAAGUGUGAAGACCUUUUGGAAACCUUCUUCUUUCUCCUCUUCUUACUCUAGAGGACGUAAGGUUAAGUCGAACACGCUUCUGGGCUAAGUCCUGCCCUAGUCCUGUACAGGAGCCCCAACGUACCCCAAAGCCUCGGUGCACUUUAAAUACACGUCAACAGUAGCAUGUGCUGGCCAGCAGUGAGUUUAACAGCGGUCCUUCAAAUGAAUGCAGUUUUAGUUGUUUUCCUCGGUUGUUUGAGGUCACUGUUCCCCCGCCCUUGUUAAUAAAGAUGUGAUUAAUGACUCUUGGCAAAGAUGCCGCCUGAAAGAGCCAAUGCUUUAGGAAAAGCAAAACCAGUUUUCAGGUAUUUUCUUUAAGGUUCAUCUCAGAAACACACAAACACAUUUCAAAGCACUCGUAAGACACACUUGACACCCCCCUCGCCCCGUCUCCACCCCCCGCAGACACACCGCCAUUCAUAACCCACAUAAUUAUUUUCCAUCUACCUGGAAGGGA